Molecule: non-coding RNA, 129 nt
Organism: Caenorhabditis elegans
Lineage: Eukaryota; Metazoa; Nematoda; Chromadorea; Rhabditida; Rhabditidae
Source: Ensembl
AAUACUCGCUAAAAGUUCAAUGCAAGCCUUCAGUUGAAGUACCAUGCCGAAGUAAUUGGAGAAUUGAGAAACACUGGACACAGCUCACUUAUUAAUUUUUUAGAAAAACUGUGUUUCUUAGGAAGAGCA